CCAGGGACGGCGUGGCUGUGAACCCCCGCAUGUGGCGCUGGGAGCUUUCUGCACCUGCCUCGCUCAGGGCUGCGGGGGAGGAGGGGGUGAGAUGGCAAAUGUGUUCUCAGGUGAGGAUGGGGGCUGUGAACCCCCCGUCUCGGCCGCGCUUGGCUUGCAUGGGCUGCGGAGGGGCUUGUUUGCUCCUUGCUUGUUUGUCACCAUCUGACAAAUGCCAGGCUCAGUGAGGAGCCCCUCCGCCCGUCAGGCAUGGCCACUGCCGCGGGCAGAUAGUCACCAAAUGCCCCACAGAUGUGGGAGAGGACUUUUCUGCCUCCCUCUUGCUGAAAUACUGUGUCGCACACGGACCCUUGGUUAUUAUCGCCCCUUGGCCGCAGCAGCGCGGGCACGGCACUACGAGAAAUCUUUGCAUUGCUACGGGAUCAGAGGUCACCGCUGCAGGGGACCAGCGCUGGUUUAUUAACCAGCCGAGUCUGUUUAAGGUGUAAUUCCUCAGGAAGAGCAGUGUGCUUGUGGCCAUUUAAACGAGUUAACAGAGCGUGCCCGUUCAAGCCGUGUGUGCUUUUCCGCAGGCACAAGCCCCAGCUCGACGGGCGGGCGCCCGCAGUUGCCGUCGGCCGAGUCGCCUCAGCCCCGCAGGUCUGUGACCUCCGGCUCCUGCCCCUGUCACAUCCCUGUCCUCCGGGUGGAAACUGCAGAAGAAAGUGCAGGAUGCGCCUCGGUUUUGCUGACACCGCUGCAGCCGCGCUGGCUCCCGCACUGCUAUUUCUGCUGCAGCUUCCUGUCCUUGACCCAGCCAUGCAUUGUGAAGUUCUCCUGAGUCAAUGAAUCCUGGUAAAAUGCAGUAAAGGAUUUAAGGUUAUCGUCUGUCUCUCUCUAACUUCUGACAUCUCUUUAUAACAAGAAAGAGUCACAGCCAACUGUAACAGGAGGGCAACACAAUGAAUCCUGGAGGAAUAUAUACAUGUGGCAGCAGCACUCAGGACAUGAAGAGCUACUUUGAAAGUUGAUGCAUUUCCCAGCGUCUGAGAUGAAGAUGGAAAGCAGAGAGUGAGAAAAUUGGCUGUCCCUGCAGAGGUGCCCCUCAACCACAAUAACGUUUCUGAAGCUGUCAUGCUUUUCUAUCCUUAACAAGAAAGCAGCUUGGACUGGUGCAGAGUGAAUGCAGUUUGUAGGAGGCAUCUCAGACUGAUCUUCCCUGAAGAGGGAAUUUUCCAGGGCCUGGUAGAAGCAGCUGGCAGCAUGAACAGCUCAAGCUACAGCAAGGAGGCCCAAGCAGAACUACACAAACUUGUCCAUAUUCCCUUGUACUGUGCUGAAUUGGGAAGGCAUGCAAGGGAGACCUGAAAACCUUAAGGCAAAGGACUGCUCUGUGGGCUGCUUGGUCACACAUACAGGUGUACAUACACAGGAUGAUAAAUGGGAGCUCGUGCAGGGUUUGUGCUGUGUGGGAGAGUUAACUGGGCUGUGAAAGUAAACUUUACCCUUUCAAACAGACCAAGACUGUGUUCACAGAUGCACAUCUUUAAUAACAGAAGCACUUGUUAUACAUUUCCAAAAUUAUCUGAUCAGCUUUCUACAAGCAAGAACUUUUUCAUCAACUUGUGUAUUCCAUCAACUAUGUAUUUUACAUAUAUGCAGUUUUCACCAUGUACAAAAUUCAAGAUGCUUUAAAAUACCUCCCAUACAAUUGUACAUAAAUGAAUCUUGUUCUACUUGCUGGAUAUAUCUGCAAGAAGCUGGAACCCAAGGUUAUGGUUCCUUCUGAAGAGGUGGUUAACACACUGCCUGCGGACCAACAAAGUUCAGGACAGAGAAUACCUAGAGGAGAGGAUCCAGGAUUUUAAAAUGACAGGAGGAGGAAAGAUCCUCUGAGUUUGACUGUAAAAUUUCUGACAGCGCUUGGCUCUUCUGUGCUGCUAUAGGGAGUGCUUCUGAAUUUCAUCUGCAAGGCACUGAGAACAGAGGGUACUCGGGACUUAGCAGAAAUUAUUCUCCCUUUUUAAGGAUCAAGCUCUUGAAGAGCACCCACUGUUAGGCAUAUGACCUCUUCAGGUACUUAAAAUUACUUAAUUAGCAUUAUAGACAUUAGAAAGAACAAGAUCAUUCUAGCAAAGGUAAUAGAGCUGUAAUUGCAGGUGUUACAGAAUUUAGUACAAAAGAUUGGUGUUCCCAAUGUUUGUUUUAAAGUGUUUUAAAAGGCUCUAUAAAGAAGGGAAUCAAGCAAACUAUCAGGUAGGAUUUUUUUCCCCCUCCAUGUUUUUGUGAACUAAGACUAGAGGGAACACAUAACAAGCAUCUUGUUAUUAAAUUUGCCCAUGACAAAUAGUACAGCUGCAUGUAGUGUGCAAGAACAUCUGUAGAAUCAUGACACAUGCAGAAUUCCCCCACACUGAGAGCAUGAUACUAUACUGAAAACAAUUCAGUUGUAGAAGCAAUAUAAAUGUAUUUUAUAUAAUCUUUCUCCACCUUCUCCUCCCCCUUAUCUUUCGAAUCAUGUUAACUAUAGGAUUUUGUCACUUCUUCCCAGCAUCAGUAAAAAAGUGUAAAAGUGACUAAGCAUUUCAGAAUUACACUCUUCUUUCAUUAGCAGCUAAGAUACUGACAUUUCUUAUCUGAAGAAACAAAAAAAACCCCAAGAAACCAGUGACAGAAAUGUACUAGACAGACACCAAAGCUUAGUCCAAAUGGAACCUGACAUGUUUUGCCAGUGUAAUUUAACCCUUUAGCAAUCAAUGGGUGAUUUUCUGUGUCAGCAUCUUGGUUGUUCAGUUCAAAGUGAGCAGUCAGAUUGCUGCCAAUCUUUAUUUCACCCAUGUAAAUGAUGGCACAAAGUACUGUGAUACGUGAUAUCACAAACUACUAUGGAAAACUAUGUAUAGAUUUCCAAAGUAAGGGGAAUCUCCUUGCCUAGGAUUUUGUGAGUUCCCACAAUUUAUCACUCAAAUGCAGCUAUGGUAGAACUUGGUAGAUGACCCUUUAAGCUCCACACAGUUAUAAAGGACCGUGCCUUUUUCAAAAUCCUUGAAGGCUUUUCCCAAAUCUUAUUUUAAAAAAUAUUUGCUUCCUCCUUCUAAAUAUUCUAUUGUUUGCUCUCUGAAAUAGUUUCUCUGCAAUCUUUAGAAUUUAGAAGUAAGAAAUUUCAUAAUUGCAAUGCAAACACUGAUUUUUGCAAUGUCUGAGGUUGUGUAAAUUUAGACUAUGUGAUGAUAAUACCAUAACCAGGAAAACACAUGCAUGUUAUAAACACCUGGAUCAUCAUUGCCUUGUUUCUUUGAACCAUCUUACUUUCAGUCAUCAGGACAGCUCAGGACUGAUAACUAUGUGAAGCUUCAAGAUAAUGUCCAAAUUUUUUAUGCAGACUGCAAGGCAAACACGAAGCUCCAAAGGCCAGCUGUCUUGGUCAUAGUUUUCAACUCCUUGCCCAUUAAAUUCCUGCAUCACUACUGCAAAAACACUACCCUUAUGACAUAUUCCCGUAAGGAUUUUAUUGAUAGGAUUCAUUUUUAGUUUAUUUGCUGAUACUCUUUGGACAAGUCCUUUGAACUCUUGCUUCAUGCAUCACCUGAAAAAACCUUGUUUUCCUGUUUCAGAGAAACAUAUUGUACUUAUGUACAACGAGAAGGGGUUUGAAGCACUCUGAUGACUGAAAGGAUAUGCAAGUACAACUGAUAUCCCCUGAUGACAUUUGCUUACUUUAACUGCUUGCACAAGAUUCAGUUAUGUGCAUCAGCAGAGCAGAAAGGAACAGCAUACAUCCUGCAGAGCUGGAAAAUGCCUUCAUUGACUUUUCAGUAUCCACAACUUUGACAUGGAGAGGUGCACAUCCAGUGGCCAGAUGUAACUGCAGUCAGCUGUGGCCACUCCAAGCUGGAAAUGAGUGUCUGAGCAUCCUGAUCACUAAUCCUUCCACUGCAGUGCCUGUGUUCUGGCUGCUCUCUUGGGUGAGUGCUUCAGCAGCUCCUUGUAGUCCUGGGCUCCAGUUAAUAACAUAAACAGUGGCACAAUUUUUAACAAGUUAGCAUCAUAAGGAGUUGUGGAAAAAGGUACCCAGGAAAGCUUCAUUUAUAUGAUAUGUAAAGUGGAGCACUAGAAUUGCUCUCUUGCAGACUUUAAAUAAAGAGUCUUGUGGUAAUUUAAAAAAAAUUAUUUUAUUUUCCUCAUGAUGGAGACACAGUGAAUCUUGGAGGGAAAACACAUACACAUGGAUAUAUUCACCAUGGGUGUUUUAUGAGAACGUGGAGCUGCAUGUCACAGUACCAUUUUCUGUGGGUUAAGGGAGACUGUUCUAACACUCCCAGCUUCUGCUGCCCAGGUACCUUCUGCUGAAGAAAUCCUUUGUUACCAUGGACAGUCAGUCACACAGUGCUGGUUGGAUUAUGUGCCUCCUGUUACAUCCACAAGUAUAUGGGAAUACAGCAAGGAAAGGAGAAUAACAAAGCUUUAGUGGUUUGCUGUCUCUGACAGUGUACUAAGUUGGCAGAAACUGUAAAACCCUGAGUUAUUUUCCUCAGCAGUCCAGCGUUCAGGGAGACCCAGAGCAUAGGGACAGUUGCUGCCACUGCACGCCAUUCCCCCCUUCCCCAGACAGGCUUUCUGGCCAAAGUUAAUGAUUCAUAAGAUUCUGCACUGAUUUCACUGUGAGCUUCCACAUUUGCAUAAGUAAAAGCCUCUGCAGCUUCUGUAGGGAGAUUCUUAGUGAAAUUGCAGCACAAAACAUUGAUAUUAUGUAAUUAUAGUAGUUCAUCUUAACUUAAAUGAAAUUGUUACUUUAAACUUGCUCUAAGUGGCUCACAAUGUAACUUUUGUAUGACACACCUACAAAACAAAUGAGUUAAUCACAAUAUAUGUCAUUUUUAAUUUUUCUCUUUCAUUUUUCUUUCAGUCAUUCUCUCUUUGUAAUUAGCAUGAAGACUACCCUUCAGUCAAAACUAGCCACCUGGAAAGUUUCAGCUUGUAAUAUGCAGCUUUUUUUGUGAAUUAUGAAUGUGCAAAAAAGAGACCUUUCUCCUUACACCCACUUCCUUGCAUAAUUCAAAUAUGAAUGAAUGAAUUUUAUUCAGGCUUGCCAAAAAAAAAAAAAAAUCAUAUUUCAGCUGAUAACAAGCAUGAAAAAUUUCAGAUGAAAGGGAUUUUUUUUUUUUUUUAAGAAUAUUCUGAGCAUGGGAGAACAGCAGGUUAAGACAGAAGUCUCAGUGCAGCCUUAAC
Molecule: long non-coding RNA, 5208 nt
Organism: Parus major (Great Tit)
Lineage: Eukaryota; Metazoa; Chordata; Aves; Passeriformes; Paridae
Exons: 8
Source: RefSeq, a predicted model, not a curated record